RNAcentral lists this ribosomal RNA (460 nucleotides) under uncultured bacterium. RNAcentral describes it as "partial 16S ribosomal RNA". It matches the Rfam family "Bacterial small subunit ribosomal RNA", at positions 338 to 795 of the family's 1533-position model. The record is from RNAcentral.
CCUACGGGUGGCAGCAGUGAGGAAUAUUGGUCAAUGGACGAGAGUCUGAACCAGCCAAGUAGCGUGAAGGAUGACUGCCCUAUGGGUUGUAAACUUCUUUUAUAUGGGAAUAAAAUGUUCCACGUGUGGGAUUUUGUAUGUACCAUAUGAACAAGGAUCGGCUAACUCCGUGCCAGCAGCCGCGGUAAUACGGAGGAUGCGAGCGUUAUCCGGAUUUAUUGGGUUUAAAGGGAGCGUAGGUGGAUUGUUAAGUCAGUUGUGAAAGUGUGGGGCUCAACCGUAAAACUGCAGUUGAAACUGGCAGACUUGAGUGCAGUAGAGGUGAGCGGAAUUCGUGGUGUAGCGGUGAAAUGCUUAGAUAUCACGAAGAACUCCAGUUGCGAAGGCAGUUCACUGGACUGCAACUGACACUGAGGCUCGAAAGUGUGGGUAUCAAACAGGAUUAGAUACCCGGGUAGUC